ACGCGACCUCUAAGCUUUGCCUA
Molecule: non-coding RNA, 23 nt
Filed under: Arabidopsis thaliana (thale cress)
Lineage: Eukaryota; Viridiplantae; Streptophyta; Magnoliopsida; Brassicales; Brassicaceae
Source: RNAcentral